This is a long non-coding RNA of Carassius auratus (goldfish), 478 nucleotides long. RefSeq lists it as uncharacterized. The record is from RefSeq and is a predicted model, not a curated record. NCBI's taxonomy places the organism in Eukaryota, Metazoa, Chordata, Actinopteri, Cypriniformes, Cyprinidae. The transcript is spliced from 2 exons.
GUCUUGAAUCCUGGAAUUUUCCAUAUGAAUGUCUUAAAUUUCAUGUGGGAUCUUAAAUUUCAUGUCCGACUCGUCAUUUUUAUUUAUUUUUUUCAACCGCAAUUUGACCAGCGUAACAUUUGGGGGCAGCACUUCGUGGGUGCAACCUGCAUCAUUCCAUAGGUGACAUACGAGUAAGUGAUUGAUGAACGCGUUGCGAUGAUGGUUCGCCACCACGGCAGUUUGCGAAAUCGCAAGCAUGGGCAAAGACGAUAAAGCUGUGGACAAGACCAUGAUUGUCAGGUCUCGCUAUCUUGGUUCUCAGUUUUUGAGCCCCUCAACGGCAGAAGACUUGCUGUAGCACUUUAAGGAGGGCACCAAGGAACUUAAUUUAAGGAACAUGCUUUCUGUGUCAAUGGAUGGACCCACAGUAAAUUGGAAAGUCAUGGAUCUCCUACAACUGGAACAUGCAAUAAAUUUCUGAUCCUGAUCUUUCCUA